Microplitis demolitor is the source of this 787-nucleotide long non-coding RNA. RefSeq lists it as uncharacterized. The transcript is spliced from 3 exons. The record is from RefSeq and is a predicted model, not a curated record. Lineage: Eukaryota; Metazoa; Arthropoda; Insecta; Hymenoptera; Braconidae.
GAUAAAUAUCGGGUUGAUUUAAUGUGAUGAGUAAAUAAAUAAUUACUAUUAAUAAUAAUUAAGCGUUAGAAUAAUAAAUUAAGAUUGAGCCGUACUUAAAAAGUAUUAAAAAGUGAAGUGAAAAAUUUUAGUGAGCAUGAGCCGGUUGAUGGUGUCUGCGUCUUUCAGAAGCUCUUUGUUUUUAAUGCGCCUACACAUUCAAAUGCGCGCGAAAAUUUUUAUUCCAGCACCAGCCGGUUCUGGGAAUUAUGCCAUGACAUUUUGGACCGUCACUGACAUAUUGUGCGGAUCAAAACACCACAUGCCGUCGGCUGUCGCGGUUUGAUUUUGCCCGGAAACAGACCGCGCACACGAGGAGGCCACAUACGUGAGUGACAGCCAAACAGACAACAUGAUAAGCGCCAGCAGUCCUUUAUUAGUAUCGCAUGUCCUUUAUGGAAAUCCAGGAUCGCUAUGGUUUGCUGGAUGACCAGAAGGCUUGUGUACGAACAUGAAACGAAAAUGGAACGGUGGAAUAUAACGCGCGAUGUUUAAUUUACACGGGAUGGCUGUUGGCGAGACAACUAGUGCGGCGAGUUGGCAAAAAGAAUCGUAUGUGAUUCUCUUAAUGAGAGUACAGAGUAAAGCUUUCUUUGGGUGAUGCGAGUGGUGGUUGUGCUGGCCGCAAAAGACGUAUCAGGCAAGCUAAACGCAACGGGCGGUAUUCUCAUCCUUUAUAUAUAUAUAUGUAUAUAUAUAGAAACAUCGUCAUCUAUACCAUGGAACCAGUAGCAGCAAAGGCACCAGC